GUGGGGAAUCUUGCGCAAUGGGCGAAAGCCUGACGCAGCCAUGCCGCGUGAAUGAUGAAGGUCUUAGGAUUGUAAAAUUCUUUCACCGGGGACGAUAAUGACGGUACCCGGAGAAGAAGCCCCGGCUAACUUCGUGCCAGCAGCCGCGGUAAUACGAAGGGGGCUAGCGUUGCUCGGAAUUACUGGGCGUAAAGGGCGCGUAGGCGGACAGUUUAGUCAGAGGUGAAAGCCCAGGGCUCAACCUUGGAAUUGCCUUUGAUACUGGCUGUCUUGAGUACGGGAGAGGUGAGUGGAACUCCGAGUGUAGAGGUGAAAUUCGUAGAUAUUCGGAAGAACACCAGUGGCGAAGGCGACUCACUGGCCCGUUACUGACGCUGAGGCGCGAAAGCGUAGGGAGCAAACAGGAUUAGAAACCCCGGUAGUCC
This 425-nucleotide ribosomal RNA is filed under the name uncultured bacterium. RNAcentral's name for it is "partial 16S ribosomal RNA". It matches the Rfam family "Bacterial small subunit ribosomal RNA", at positions 354 to 796 of the family's 1533-position model. The record is from RNAcentral.